RNAcentral lists this signal recognition particle RNA (299 nucleotides) under Macaca mulatta (Rhesus monkey). Its description in RNAcentral is "Metazoan signal recognition particle RNA (ENSMMUG00000063147.1)". It matches the Rfam family "Metazoan signal recognition particle RNA". Rfam says of the family: The signal recognition particle (SRP) is a universally conserved ribonucleoprotein. It is involved in the co-translational targeting of proteins to membranes. Lineage: Eukaryota; Metazoa; Chordata; Mammalia; Primates; Cercopithecidae. The record is from Rfam by way of RNAcentral.
GCUGGGCGUGGUGGCGCGCGCCUGUAAUCCCAGCUACUAGGGAGGCUGAGGCAGGAGAAUUGCUUGAACCCGGGAGGCAGAGGUUGCAGUGAGCCAAGAUGGUGCCACUGCACUCCAGCCAGGGUGACAAAAGCGAAAUUCCUUCUCAAAAAAAAAAAAAAAAAAAAUCAAAACAGCCUUUUUUUUUGUUUUUGUUUUUGAGAUGGAGUCUUGCUCCUUCACCUGGCUGGAAUGCAGUGGUGUGAUCUCAGCUCACUGCAACCUCCGCCUCCCGGGUUCAAGCAAUUCUCCUGCCUCAG